Molecule: ribosomal RNA, 1053 nt
Filed under: Ustilago aeluropodis
Lineage: Eukaryota; Fungi; Basidiomycota; Ustilaginomycetes; Ustilaginales; Ustilaginaceae
Description: partial 28S ribosomal RNA
Rfam family: Eukaryotic large subunit ribosomal RNA (bases 427-1053)
Source: RNAcentral
AAAAAAAAAAAAACACUUUUGAUGAUUUAGGAUUUGAAUGAAAAUUCAUUUUUUUAUGAUGGAACCGACUGGUAAUGCGGUCGUCUAAAUCUAAAAAACAACAUCUUUGAACGCACCUUGCGCUCCCGGCAGAUCUAAUCUGGGGAGCAUGCCUGUUUGAGGGCCGCGAAUUGUUUCGAACGACAGCUUUCUUCUUUGCGAGAAAGUUGGCGGAUCGGUAUUGAGGGUUUUUUUGCCAUUGACCGUGGCUCCCUCGAAAUGCAUUAGUGCAUCCAUUUAAUAGGCAAGACGAACGAAAGCUUGAUUUUCGCCCUCUCUUCCCUGCCGGGUUUUGAUAAUAUCAGGACUUCGGAGGGUGAAGGGAAAAGGGUUAGAGCUGGACGCAACGUUUUGCUGGUUGGAGUGCUUCUGAACCCCGCCCAUGCCUUUGCUUGCAAAGGAAGGGAUUUUUUUUUUUUUUUUUUGGAGGAAAAGAAACUAACAAGGAUUCCCCUAGUAACGGCGAGUGAAGAGGGAAGAGCCCAAGAUUGAAAGCUGGGCCUUCGGCGUCCGCAUUGUAAUCUCAAGAAGUGUUUUCCGCUUCGGACCGAGCCUAAGUCCCUUGGAAAAGGGCAUCGUAGAGGGUGAGAAUCCCGUACAUGGCUCGGAGCGCCCGAGGCUUUGUGAUACACUCUCAAAGAGUCGAGUUGUUUGGGAAUGCAGCUCAAAAUGGGUGGUAAAUGCCAUCUAAGGCUAAAUAUUGGGGAGAGACCGAUAGCGAACAAGUACCGUGAGGGAAAGAUGAAAAGAACUUUGAAAAGAGAGUUAAACAGUACGUGAAAUUGCCAAAAGGGAAGGGUAGGAGGUCAGAGAUGCGGUCUGGGAUUCAGCCUUGCUUUUGCUUGGUGUUUUUCCCAGUUUGCAGGCCAACGUCGGUUUUGGGCGCUGGAGAAGGGUGGGAGGAACGUGGCACCCCUCGGGGUGUGUUAUAGCCUCCUACUGGAUACAGUGACCGGGACCGAGGACAGCAGCGUACUCGCAAGAGCGGGCCUUCGGGCACCUUUACGCUUAGGG